UUGACAAUUGGACCGUGAAGGCAUACUUUCAGGAGUGAGGGUAGAGCGGGGUUUCCCCCGCCCUGGUAGUCUUAGUAUGCUGGGUAGCUAAUCACUAAGAGCACCACGAUGAUGAGUAUCUUCAUCAUGACCCUUUCGUUAUU
This 143-nucleotide small RNA is filed under the name Escherichia coli MS 57-2. RNAcentral's name for it is "QUAD RNA". It matches the Rfam family "Short Intergenic Abundant RNA". Rfam says of the family: This family contains multiple ncRNA from E. coli that were identified in a large scale screen of E. coli, were they were called candidates 43,55 and 61. These RNAs have also been identified by other groups and called QUAD RNAs. Lineage: Bacteria; Pseudomonadati; Pseudomonadota; Gammaproteobacteria; Enterobacterales; Enterobacteriaceae. RNAcentral also lists the same sequence under 1 other name. The record is from RNAcentral.